UACAUGGGGUGCAAACGUUGCUCGGAAUUAUUGGGCGUAAAGCGCGCGUAGGCGGUUACUUAAGUCGGAUGUGAAAGCCCUCGGCUUAACUGAGGAAGUGCACCCGAAACUGAGUAGCUAGAGUACGAAAGAGGGUCGCGGAAUUCCCGGUGUAGAGGUGAAAUUCGUAGAUAUCGGGAGGAACACCGGUGGCGAAGGCGGCGACCUGGGUCGAGACUGACGCUGAGGCGCGAAAGCGUGGGGAUCAAACAGG
Molecule: ribosomal RNA, 253 nt
Filed under: uncultured bacterium
Lineage: Bacteria
Description: partial 16S ribosomal RNA
Rfam family: Bacterial small subunit ribosomal RNA
Source: RNAcentral